GACGAACGCUGGCGGCGUGCUUAACACAUGCAAGUCGAACGGAAAGGCCCUGCUUUUGUGGGGUGCUCGAGUGGCGAACGGGUGAGUAACACGUGAGUAACCUGCCCUUGACUUUGGGAUAACUUCAGGAAACUGGGGCUAAUACCGGAUAGGAGCUCCUGCUGCAUGGUGGGGGUUGGAACGUUUCGGCGGUUGGGGAUGGACUCGCGGCUUAUCAGCUUGUUGGUGGGGUAGUGGCUUACCAAGGCUUUGACGGGUAGCCGGCCUGAGAGGGUGACCGGCCACAAUGGGACUGAGAUACGGCCCAGACGCCUACGGGAGGCAGCAGUGGGGAAUAUUGCACAAUGGGCGGAAGCCUGAUGCAGCAACGCCGCGUGCGGGAUGACGGCCUUCGGGUUGUAAACCGCUUUCGCCUGUGACGAAGCGUGAGUGACGGUAAUGGGUAAAGAAGCACCGGCUAACUACGUG
This 468-nucleotide ribosomal RNA is filed under the name uncultured bacterium. Its description in RNAcentral is "partial 16S ribosomal RNA". It matches the Rfam family "Bacterial small subunit ribosomal RNA", at positions 28 to 507 of the family's 1533-position model. The record is from RNAcentral.